GUCUUGGGACUGUAGACGUCCCGGUCCCGGUCAGGUUGUCUUGGAACUGUAGACGUCCCGGUCCCGGUCAGGUUGUCUUGGAACUGUAGACGUCCCGGUCAGGUUGUCUUGGGACUGUAGACGUCCCGGUCAGGUUGUCUUGGGACUGUAGACGUCCCGGUCCCGGUCAGGUUGUUUUGGGACUGUAGAUGUCCCGGUCAGGUUGUCUUGGAACUGUAGACGUCCCGGUCAGGUUGUUUUGGGACUGUAGAUGUCCCGGUCCCGGUCAGGUUGUCUUGGGACUGUAGACGUCCCGGUCCCGGUCAGGUUGUUUUGGGACUGUAGAUGUCCCGGUCCCGGUCAGGUUGUCUUGGGACUGUAGACGUCCUGGUCAGGUUGUCUUGGGAC
Long non-coding RNA from Coregonus clupeaformis (lake whitefish), 387 nucleotides. RefSeq lists it as uncharacterized. NCBI's taxonomy places the organism in Eukaryota, Metazoa, Chordata, Actinopteri, Salmoniformes, Salmonidae. The transcript is spliced from 3 exons. The record is from RefSeq and is a predicted model, not a curated record.